GAUGAACGCUAGCGGGAGGCCUAACACAUGCAAGCCGAGCGGUAUUUGUCUUUCGGGACAGAGAGAGCGGCGUACGGGUGCGGAACGCGUGUGCAACCUGCCUUUAUCUGGGGGAUAGCCUUUCGAAAGGAAGAUUAAUACCCCAUAAUAUAAUGAAUGGCAUCAUUUAUUAUUGAAAACUACGGUGGAUAGAGAUGGGCACGCGCAAGAUUAGAUAGUUGGUGAGGUAACGGCUCACCAAGUCGAUGAUCUUUAGGAGGCCUGAGAGGGUGAUCCCCCACACUGGUACUGAGACACGGACCAGACUCCUACGGGAGGCAGCAGUGAGGAAUAUUGGACAAUGGGUUAGCGCCUGAUCCAGCCAUCCCGCGUGAAGGACGACGGCCCUAUGGGUUGUAAACUUCUUUUGUACAGGGAUAAACCUACUCUCGUGAGAGUAGCUGAAGGUACUGUACGAAUAAGCACCGGCUAACUCCGUGCCAGCAGCCGCGGUAA
This 495-nucleotide ribosomal RNA is filed under the name uncultured bacterium. RNAcentral's name for it is "partial 16S ribosomal RNA". It matches the Rfam family "Bacterial small subunit ribosomal RNA", at positions 28 to 523 of the family's 1533-position model. The record is from RNAcentral.